This 68-nucleotide transfer RNA is filed under the name Leiocephalus personatus (Haitian curlytail lizard). Its description in RNAcentral is "tRNA-Arg". Lineage: Eukaryota; Metazoa; Chordata; Lepidosauria; Squamata; Leiocephalidae. The record is from RNAcentral.
UGGGCAUUAGUUUAAACAAAACAGUUAAUUUCGGCUUAUCCAACCCGAGAACUCCCUCGGAUGCCCAU